Molecule: ribosomal RNA, 297 nt
Filed under: uncultured bacterium
Lineage: Bacteria
Description: partial 16S ribosomal RNA
Rfam family: Bacterial small subunit ribosomal RNA
Source: RNAcentral
GACGAACGCUGGCGGCGUGCUUAACACAUGCAAGUCGAGCGGUAAGGCCCUUUCGGGGGUACGACGAGCGGCGAACGGGUGAGUAACACGUGGGUGACCUGCCCUCCAGCUCUGGGAUAAGCCCGGGAAACUGGGUCUAAUACCGGAUAUGACUUCAUGACGCAUGUUGUGGAGUGGAAAGCCUUGUGCGGCUGAGGAUGGGCCCGCGGCCUAUCAGCUUGUUGGUGGGGUGAUGGCCUACCAAGGCGACGACGGGUAGCCGGCCUGAGAGGGCGACCGGCCACACUGGGACUGAGA